GAUUCCCUCAGUAACUGCGAGUGAAGUGGGAAAAGCUCAAAUUUAAAAUCUGGCAGUUUUUAAUUGCUCGAAUUGUAAUCUAGAGAAGUAUUAUCUGUUCUGGACCAUAUAUAAGUCUUCUGGAAUGAGGCAUCAUAGAGGGUGAGAAUCCUGUCUUUGAUAUGGACUACCAGUACAUUAUGAUAUGCUCUCAACGAGUCGAGUUGUUUGGGAAUGCAGCUCUAAAUGGGUGGUAAAUUCCAUCUAAAGCUAAAUAUUAGCGAGAGACCGAUAGUGAACAAGUACCGUGAGGGAAAGAUGAAAAGAACUUUGGAAAGAGAGUUAAACAGUACGUGAAAUUGUUGAAAGGGAAACGCUUAAAGUCAGUCAUGUUAAUCAGGGAUCAAUCUUGCUUUUUUUGCUUGAUGUAUUUUCUGAUUAAUAAGUCAGCAUCAAUUGUAAUCACUGGAAAAAGACUGAGGAAAUGUGGCAUCUUUUGAUGUGUUAUAGUCCUUUAUCAUAUACAUUGAUUAGAAUUGAGGAAUUCAGCAUGCCGCAAGGCCGGGUUUUAAUCACGUUCAUGCUUAGGAUGCUGGCAUAAUGGCUUUAAUCGACCCGUCUUGAAACACGGACCAAGGAGUCUAAUAUACCUGCAAGUAUUUGGGUGAAAAACCCAUAUGCAUAAUGAAAGUGAAAGUUGGGAUCUCUGUCAUAGAAAGCACCGACACCCAGACCAGACCUUUUGUGACGGAUCUGCGGUGAGCAUGUAUGUGGACCCGAAAGAUGGUGAACUAUGCCUGAAUAGGGUGAAGCCAGAGGAACUCUGGUGARGCUCGUAGCGAUUCUGACGUGCAAUCGAUCGUCAAAUUUGGGUAUAGGGCGAAAGACUA
RNAcentral lists this ribosomal RNA (869 nucleotides) under Entoloma hochstetteri. RNAcentral's name for it is "eukaryotic LSU rRNA". It matches the Rfam family "Eukaryotic large subunit ribosomal RNA", at positions 73 to 933 of the family's 3401-position model. Lineage: Eukaryota; Fungi; Basidiomycota; Agaricomycetes; Agaricales; Entolomataceae. The record is from RNAcentral.